AUGCUUUCACAACUUGACUUCAAAAUAUUUGGUUUGGAGACUAUCAAAGAUCAAUAUGUGCAUGAUGCUGAUUUUAAAGAUGUAAUGCAGAAUUGUAAAGAAGGAAGAAUGUGGAACAAGUUUGUUGUUAACGAUGGAUUUGUGUUUCGUGCUAACAAGCUAUGCAUUCCAGCUAGCUCCGUUCGUCUUUUGUUAUUGCAGGAGGCGCAUGGAGGAGGAUUAAUGGGACACUUUGGCGUGAAGAAGACGGAGGACGUACUUGCUACACAUUUCUUUUGGCCAAAGAUGAGACGGGAUGUUGAGCGUUUUAUUGCUCGCUGCACUACAUGUCAAAAAGCUAAGUCACGACUCAAUCCUCAUGGUUUAUAUAUGCCUUUGCCUGUACCUAGUGUUCCUUGGGAGGAUAUAUCUAUGGACUUUGUUUUAGGUUUACCUCGAACAAAGAAGGGGAGGGAUAGCAUAUUUGUUGUCGUGGAUAGAUUCUCAAAAAUGGCACACUUUAUACCAUGUCAUAAAAGCGAUGAUGCUGUUAAUGUUGCUGAUUUGUUCUUUCGUGAAAUUAUUCGCUUGCAUGGUGUGCCAAAUACUAUUGUUUCAGAUCGUGAUACUAAAUUUCUUAGCCACUUUUGGAGAUGUUUAUGGGCUAAGUUGGGGACUAAACUGCUUUUUAGUACUGCUUGUCACCCCCAAACUGAUGGACAAACUGAAGUAGUCAAUAGAACGUUGUCUACUAUGCUUAGGGCUGUUUUGAAGAAUAAUAAGAAAAUGUGGGAGGAAUGCUUGCCUCAUAUUGAAUUUGCUUAUAAUCGUUCAUUGCAUUCUACUACUAAGAUGUGCCCUUUUGAAGUUGUGUAUGGUUUCCUACCUCGUGCACCUAUUGAUUUGUUGCCUCUUCCAUCUUCGGAGAAGGUUAAUUUUGAUGCUAAACAACGUGCUGAAUUGAUUUUAAAAAUACAUGAGUUAACUAAGGAAAACAUUGAGCGUAUGAAUGCUAAAUAUAAACUUGCUGGAGAUAAGGGUAGAAAACAUGUUGUGUUUGCACCUGGAGAUCUUGUUUGGUUACAUUUGCGUAAGGAUAGAUUUCCUGAUUUGCGCAAAUCAAAGCUAAUGCCACGUGCUGAUGGUCCCUUUAAGGUGUUAGAGAAAAUAAAUGAUAAUGCAUAUAAACUUGAGCUGCCUGCAGAAUUUGGGGUUAGUCCCACUUUUAACAUUGCAGAUUUGAAGCCUUAUUUGGGUACUUUCGUUUCUUGGUAA
This 1254-nucleotide ribosomal RNA is filed under the name Triticum aestivum (bread wheat). RNAcentral's name for it is "partial small subunit ribosomal RNA". Lineage: Eukaryota; Viridiplantae; Streptophyta; Magnoliopsida; Poales; Poaceae. The record is from RNAcentral.